Molecule: ribosomal RNA, 253 nt
Filed under: uncultured bacterium
Lineage: Bacteria
Description: partial 16S ribosomal RNA
Rfam family: Bacterial small subunit ribosomal RNA
Source: RNAcentral
UACGAAUGGGGCUAGCGUUGCUCGGAAUCACUGGGCGUAAAGCGCACGUAGGCGGCUUUUUAAGUCAGGGGUGAAAUCCUGGAGCUCAACUCCAGAACUGCCUUUGAUACUGAGAAGCUUGAGUCCGGGAGAGGUGAGUGGAACUGCGAGUGUAGAGGUGAAAUUCGUAGAUAUUCGCAAGAACACCAGUGGCGAAGGCGGCUCACUGGCCCGGUACUGACGCUGAGGUGCGAAAGCGUGGGGAGCAAACAGG